UAAUCCAUAGAUUCAUUAUACAACACAAAUUACAAGCAAAUUAGUCCAAGUACAUCAAAUUCGAAAACCUAAAAAAACUAGAAAUCUAAUCAAAUCAAUUACAAUCAUAAUCAAAUUACAAGUUUCCUAAAAGAUACAAUCAUAAUUAAAUCCUAAACCUAAUUUUAAUCUAUAAAAAGACUAAGAAUAAUCAGAAUUAGGGGGACGAAAAAAAUAAGAACCCUAAGCAUUAUUGCCCUAUGCAAUUCCCAGCCUUUCAUCAAAGCUCCGACUAAGCAGUAAUUAGGAUUUCAUAUCGAAACCCUAAUUCCUAUGAGCUAAACCACAUUCACGAGUCCAUGACCUCGCACAGAAAGAAAAGAAGAAGUUAGGAGCAAAAGAAAAGAAAAACCAGAUAAAGCAGAAGAGAAUUAGAAAUCGGAAUUUUUACCUUUAAGACCAGAGAACACCUCUUCUCCAUAUGUUGGUUGAAUUCUAUAAUCUAUCUUAUUAUUUAUUUAUGAUAUUAUUGUUGUUUUGGUUUGAUGAUUUGGGUUAAGGGAUUAAGGGUUUACGAUUUUUCCAUCUGGUUUGUGAGUUUGGAUGUCUGGUUGAGGUAAAGGGGAUCAGGAUCUGUGAUUUAGUGAAGGUUUGGGUUUAUUCUGGGUAGGGUUAGGUUUGAUUUGGGUUAGGUUUAGGUUUGGCUGAAGGAAGAAGAUGAAUAUUCAUCUUCUUCAAGGUUAGGGUUCAUCUGGGUACGUUAAAGAGGGUUAAGGUUCUUGAAGCUGAGGGUUAGGGUUUGUUAAUUUGGGGUUAUGGUUCAUAGAAUUAAGGGUUAUGGGAAGGUGUUCAUCACCCAGAUGAACACCAGUUAAAGAUCCCAAUGAGCUUUACAAGGUGUGUGUGGGCUUUGUAGGGUGGUCGGAGUUAAGGCUUCAGAAGAGAUUUAGAGGGAGAGAGCAGAGAACAAAGAGAUGAAGAGAGAAAAAG
RNAcentral lists this long non-coding RNA (969 nucleotides) under Lathyrus oleraceus (garden pea). RNAcentral describes it as "Pisum sativum (pea) long non-coding RNA (PSAT_LNC019972)". Lineage: Eukaryota; Viridiplantae; Streptophyta; Magnoliopsida; Fabales; Fabaceae. The record is from RNAcentral.